This 224-nucleotide long non-coding RNA is filed under the name Mytilus galloprovincialis (Mediterranean mussel). The record is from RNAcentral. Lineage: Eukaryota; Metazoa; Mollusca; Bivalvia; Mytilida; Mytilidae.
CUCUGCCUAUGACCCAUAUAAUUUGAUAUUCAUUCUUUAACCAUAUAUCAUAGUAAGCUAGUUUUUUAUUUUACACCAAUCCACAAUCUUUCAUGUUAAAUUCUGUCUCCAUUUAAGUUUAUGCUAUUGAACCAUCAUGGUAUUAAACACAAUUCCAAGUAAUUAUGCUGUUAUAGAGGGUCACCAUAUAUUCAUCUUGGGUGACAUUCCAGUUAUUGAAAUUU